This 3739-nucleotide long non-coding RNA is filed under the name Sus scrofa (pig). RNAcentral describes it as "lncRNA (ENSSSCG00000054948.1)". Lineage: Eukaryota; Metazoa; Chordata; Mammalia; Artiodactyla; Suidae. The record is from RNAcentral.
GCCUCAGUGGGCCUGAUUCCCAGUGUUACCUUGUGCCCACAGUCCAUGUAGGAUUUUGAGCAUUUUUCUGUUUAUCUUCAAGCACCCUGCUCACAUCUGGCUUCUCACAUCUCCCAGGCCCUACACAGGUCAUUGCAUUUCAGGCACAAUGCCUGUCAGUAUUGUCUUGUUUAAAUGCUCAACAUCAAUGGUACGCCCGGAAUGUAGAAUCCAUACACAUUCAGGAUUUUGACACGCAUCUACAGAGGUAUGCAUAGCCAAUAUGGAAAGUGUCCUCUUUAUGUAUAUAUGUCUAAAAUACAUGAGGAUACUGAGGCCCAUGCCAGAGCUAGUAAGAACUAAAAUUCAGCUAAAACAACUCACAUCUUUUGUCACUUACAUUCAGGCUUUUUCUCUAAGACACCAGGUUUCACAUUUCCAUCCAUUCCUUGUAGAAUUCCAGCCAUCGCUAAGCAGCCGGUUCUUUUCAAUAGUCUCUAACCUCACUGCCUUUCUCCAGGUUCCCACAUGUUUCUGGUUCCCUUAUUAUGUCUUGUUCACUCGCUUGAGGUAGUCUGGAAUGAAGUAAAUGCAAAUUGUUUUAGUGGUUGAAACAUUUGCGCUCCCCUCCCCCUCCAGAAUCAACAAAAGCUGCUGAGUCUAUGAAUUUAGAAGUAGAAUUUAGACCAGUAAUUAUAGUUAUGGAGUUAAAGAAUUUUCAAUGUUUUUUUAUUUUUUUCUUUUAUUGGAUUUAUCAUCUCAGAUUUGCAAUCUGAAUUCUUGGUGCUCCUUUUCCAGUAAUUUCAAGUGAGAAGUUCAAAUCUGUUUACCCAGCAUGCCUAAUGACCAUUAGUAGGGUAAAUAAGGGGAAUCAAUAGACAUAUUAUUGGAGACUGUCUUUUGAAACAUGGUAACAUCACAUGACACGUAUUCCCAGAGGAAUCAAUUGAUUUUUUUUUUUAAGCACAAGAAAUGUUUUUUUAUCCCCUCCUACCCAGAGAAAAACAUAAGAAUUCAGACAAGAUCAAGUCCAAAAUGAAUAAUGUAGGGAUUUGCCAUUUGUGUGGAAUAGAAACUACUCACCUUUUAAAACAUUAUUUAUGAAUUUGACUUGAGAUGCUCCGCAUAAAUCUUUUUUUCUUUUCUGGUCAAGUGUUUGUGACAUAAAAAAUGAAAUGGCAUUUAUCACCAGUUUGAUACUUCCAGAAGUAUAUUAAGUAGAAAGAACUUGACCUCAUUAAGUAAAAGGACACACCUAAGAAUUCAUGAAGCAGUUCACAGCUCCUCUCUUUGUUUUACCUGCUCUUCUGCUCCACUCUGAGGUUACUCUGUUGGAGGAGAUGACGAAAUUGCCAUUGAACCUCCUCUUCAUCAUUAAGAAGAAUGAGCAAGUGUGGUGUCCAAAAAAUGAAUAUCAAAUAUAAUUAUUUCAGGCUUUGUGUAUAUGUGUGAUAUCGAUAUAGAUGUGUGUGUGUUUAUAUAUGGGUAUAUGUGUUAUAUAUGUGUAUAUACAUGUGUAUGUAUGUAUAUAUGUAGUGUGUAUAUAUGUGUGUGUGUGGGUAUAUUGUAUAAAUACAUACACACAAGAGAGUCAAAGAGAGAUUGAUUAACUAUAAGGAACUGACUCCUGUGAUUACGAAGGCGGGCGAAUCCUGAAAUCUUCAGGGUGCAUCAGCAGCCUGGAGACCCAGGAAGGCCCUUUGUUUAGUUACAGUCUGAGUUCAAAGGUCAGAGACCCAGGAGAGCUGAUGGUCUCCACCCAAAGACUGCCAGGUUCAAGAGGUAGGAAGUGCCACCAUGUCAGUUCAAGCCUGAAGGCAGGAAAAAAAAAAAUCAUAUGUGUCCAUCUGAAGGCCAUCAACAAGGAAGGAAUUCUUUCUCACUGUGGGGAGGGUCAGUGUUUUUGUUCUAGAAAGACCUUCAACUGAUUGGAUGAGGCUCACCCCCAUUAGGGAGGGCAAUCUGCUUUAGUCCAGGUACUGAUUUCAGUGUUCUUCUCAACCAAAACACCCUCCCAGGAACACCUGGAAUAAUAUUUGACUAAAUGUCAGGCCACCCCAUGGUCCAGUCAAGUUGACACAGAAAAUUAACCUUCACACGGGGGAAUCCAUUAAAGAAGGAUAUAUUCCUCAGUUCCAGCAGCUGUUAGAUGUUUUUUUUUUAAUAGGUGUUAGCUCGUGGUUGUCCUCAGUUCCUGCCACAUGGGCCUCUCCAACAUAACAGCUGGUUUCAGCAAAGGCAGCAAGAGAACGAUAACCUGCUAGCAAAAUGGAAUUAGCAAUCUUUUGUAGUCAAGUCACAUAAUUAAUAGCCUAGUACCUUUGCCAUAUUCUCUUGGUUGGAAGCAUGUCACUGGGUUCAACCCAUACUGCAAUUGAGGAAAUUACAUAUAUGCAUGAACACCCCGGGGUGGGCACCUUUGGGGGCCAUAGUAGAAGGCUGCCUUUCACACAGCUGAAAGGCACGUUGAAGGUUUGAGCAAGGAAUACAAACAUUAGAACCAUAAAAGGGGACUUGUCUCAAACUUACAAGUCUGGAUUUGAGGGUCCUUUAAAAUAAAUCUUCCUAGUUCUAUGAAUUUGUGCAAAUUAAUUACUAUCAUUUUGCUUAUUUCUUCACUUAUUAAAAUGGAUAUAUGUUAUGUUGUUUCUUGCCUAGUAGUAUUCCUGGCAGUAGAACUUGGUCUUCUUGCCCCCUCCCAAUUCAGGUCAAGUUAUUAAGGUAAAGCUGAUAAAAUCUCCCCUCUCCUAUAGGGCUGGACAUAGGAAUCAGAUUUGGCCAUGCAAAGCCAUGGCGACUAGUUCAGGAUGGAACCUAAGAGCCAUUCUGUGUUCAUGAGAAGCAGGCAUAGGACCUUUUCUGGAAGUACUGGACAAGAGAAAGAGCUUUCUCAGUGAGGUUGAAAGUGAGAGAAUGGGCCAUUCCCUCGUGGCUCAGUGGAAAUGAAUCUGCCUAGCAUCCAUGAGGAUGCAGGUUCGAUCCCUGGCCUCACUCAGUGGGUUAAGGAUCUGGUGUUGCCAUGAGCUGUGGUGUAGGUCGCAGACAUGGCUUGGAUCUGGCGGUGCUGGGGCUGUGAUGUACGCCAGUGGCUACAGCUCCAAUUUGACCCCUAGCCUGGGAUCCUAUGCCAGAGGUGCUGCCCUAAAGAGGCAAAAAAAAAAAAGGGGGGGGGGAUGUAAGCCUGAAGUUUCCAGCAGCCAUGCAGUUACCUAGUAGGAAAAGUCUGAAUAAGAAAAAGGCUAAUUCUCAUUUCAGUUGUGAGAUAGAAAGAGGUAGAUUCCUAAAGAUACCGAACUGCUGGAUCCAUCCUGGCCUGCAGUUCAACAACCCUAACUCUUAUGUGGACCAAUACAUUUCUACUUAAGUCUGUUUGAGUUGUAUUUCUGGCCAUUGCCUGAUCCAUCCCGCACGUAGAGCUGUGUGCUGUUCACAGCUAUCUCUCAACAAAUGUACACUGACUAAUGUAUAAAAGCAAUUUUUAGAAGAUUAGCCUUGACAUCCAAGGGCAGGAAGUUGGAACGUAUUCCCUCCCCGAGUCUUCCUGAACCCUAAAAUUCUAAGAUUGGCUGCUUCCCAGAACACUUCUUGGAGGCCUCUCUUUGGAAUUUGUGUCUAGAAUAUUUGGAAUGGCUUAGGCGGCUCUCUUAGGUUUGUCCAUCUCUAUCCCCAGGCUCACGGCAGUGUAGGUGGGCCAGUCUUGCAAAACUCCAUCUCUGAGCAGCCUCAGGCACAGGAAGCUGGCCCAUACAAGUUCCAAAAG